This 491-nucleotide ribosomal RNA is filed under the name Chromatiales bacterium. RNAcentral's name for it is "partial 23S ribosomal RNA". It matches the Rfam family "Bacterial large subunit ribosomal RNA", at positions 2457 to 2925 of the family's 2925-position model. The record is from RNAcentral. Lineage: Bacteria; Pseudomonadati; Pseudomonadota; Gammaproteobacteria; Chromatiales.
UAAAAGGUACGCCGGGGAUAACAGGCUGAUACCGCCCAAGAGUUCACAUCGACGGCGGUGUUUGGCACCUCGAUGUCGGCUCAUCUCAUCCUGGGGCUGAAGCAGGUCCCAAGGGUAUGGCUGUUCGCCAUUUAAAGAGGUACGCGAGCUGGGUUUAGAACGUCGUGAGACAGUUCGGUCCCUAUCUGCCGUGGGCGUUUGAGAAUUGAGGGAAGCUGCUCCUAGUACGAGAGGACCGGAGUGGACGUACCCCUGGUGUUCCGGUUGUCACGCCAGUGGCAUUGCCGGGUAGCUACGUACGGAAGGGAUAACCGCUGAAAGCAUCUAAGCGGGAAGCCCCACCCAAGAUUAGUUCUCACUAGACUCUUGAAGUCUCUGUAGGUCCGUCGAAGACUACGACGUUGAUAGGCAGGGUGUGGAAGCACAGUAAUGUGUGAAGCUAACCUGUACUAAUUGACCGUGUGGCUUGACCAUAUAUCACUCAAGCAGUU